AUGAACGUUGGCGGUGUGUCUAAUACAUGCAAGUCGAGCGAAAUCAGGGGCAACUCUGGUUUAGCGGCAAACGGGUGCGUAAUACGUUGGAACCUGCCUCAAACUCAGGGAUAACUCCGCGAAAGCGGAGCUAAUACCGGAUGGUCCUGCAAAGGUAAAGACGCAAGUCGGUUUGAGAGGGUCCUGCGGCCUAUCAGCUUGUUGGUGAGGUAACGGCUCACCAAGGCUAUGACGGGUAGCUGGUCUGAGAGGAUGGCCAGCCACAAUGGGACUGAGACACGGCCCAUACUCCUACGGGAGGCAGCAGUAAAGAAUAUUUCGCAAUGGCCGAAAGGCUGACGAAGCGACACCGCGUGAAGGAUGAAGUUCUUUUGGACGUAAACUUCUUUUCUGAGGGAAUAAUCUUGAAGGUACCUCAGGAAUAAGCACCGGCUAACCACGU
Molecule: ribosomal RNA, 442 nt
Filed under: uncultured bacterium
Lineage: Bacteria
Description: bacterial SSU rRNA
Rfam family: Bacterial small subunit ribosomal RNA
Source: RNAcentral